CAGUCGCCGCGGUAAUGCGAAGGGUGCAAGCGUUAAUCGGAAUUACUGGGCGUAAAGCGUGCGUAGGCGGUGAGUUAAGUCUGCUGUGAAAUCCCCGGGCUCAACCUGGGAAUGGCGCUUGUGACUGCAAAGCUAGAGUGCGGCAGAGGGGGAUGGAAUUCCGCGUGUAGCAGUGAAAUGCGUAGAUAUGCGGAGGAACACCGAUGGCGAAGGCAAUCCCCUGGGCCUGCACUGACGCUCAUGCACGAAAGCGUGGGGAGCAAACAGGAUUAGAUACCCGGUAGUCCCUGUCUCUUAUACC
RNAcentral lists this ribosomal RNA (301 nucleotides) under uncultured bacterium. Its description in RNAcentral is "partial 16S ribosomal RNA". It matches the Rfam family "Bacterial small subunit ribosomal RNA", at positions 509 to 808 of the family's 1533-position model. The record is from RNAcentral.